RNAcentral lists this long non-coding RNA (1875 nucleotides) under Mytilus galloprovincialis (Mediterranean mussel). Lineage: Eukaryota; Metazoa; Mollusca; Bivalvia; Mytilida; Mytilidae. The record is from RNAcentral.
GCCCUUAUAUUCAAGUCUUUUUACUUUAAAGUCAAACUAAGGUUCCAGUACCAGCUUCAUUGAAAGAAAAACAUGUUUAUAACAUCAUAAUAACGAUCCAGUAAUUGUUAAAAAUAUAACAAUAGUACAUGCAACGUAACCCUUUGACAACCUAAAGACAUAUAAAAAAAAUCACAGUUUAUUGUACGGUGUCUCUUUUAUUUAACAUUCAAGUUUAUCUGUUCAAGUUUUCCUGCACUCCAAGUUCUGUUUCGGUCUACUGGUACACGUUUCGUCGUGCCAUCUUUCGGUAUGUUCGCAUUAUUGCCGUUACAUACAUUGACUUCAUUCGUUAUUGUUUAUAAAGGGUAAAGUUUCUUUAUUGGCCUUGGUGUUAUUACGUUUUCCGUCCUUAACACGACUGAGCUUAUUGUGCAACGUGUCCAAUAUUGGUCAGCUCCAACAAGUAGUCCUAUUUCAUAUGAUGCAUGUUUAGUUACGGCAUGAGCUAAUAUUGAAUUUUGCAAAUACGACAUUUUUUGACAGUUUGAAUGCAAGUCGUCAAUUGUGCAGCUAUUGUUGGUACAAUCAAUACAUCGACUGAAAUAUGUUCGCCAUAAGUAGUUUGUAACUUAACUGUUGCUGUGUCUAGUUGUUGUACUUUGUUGUUCUUGUCUCCAAAUCCCGAUAAUACUAUCGCCUCCCUUCAUGUUGGUCUUAUAUCCGAUUUAUCUGCUAAAUGCCUGGUAAAAAAUGACUUCGUCAAAAAGGAUAUUUGCGUUUUAAUAUCUUUUGUUUUCUUUAGCUUUGUGGUGCUGUUGCGGUCUUUAACAAAACAUCAGGACGGCCACAGUUGAAUGACGAAUAAAACGGAUGUCUCAGAUUCCUUCGAUUUGUAUGUUUAUGCUUUGUGUGUACUCGUAGUUUCUUUCCCAUUAUGCAUAUGGUCGUUGCUGCAUCAGAUAGUGUGAUGACGUCUGUAACUUUUUGUGCAGUUUAUUUCGAUUUACAAUCUGCUUAACGUGUCGCUCUAAGAAUUAAAGCAUAGUCUUCAAUUCUUACAUUUUUUCUGAUGUCGUUUUGAUCCAUAUAUUAAGUACAUUCUGAGGAAAAGUGGUGUUCCUUGCAGUAUGCACAGCUUACUUAUUGAUGAGUGUGCUGUGUUGAAUUGUUGGCCAGAUUUUAAGCGAUUUUGUUUUUGUGUAGAACGUAGCUGUAGUGCUCUGACUUUCAACUGUUUCUGUACUUCUACCAGACUUUUUUAACGGCCAGUUCUUGAUGAUAGAUCUCAUAAUAUCACCGCGAAACAAAUCUAUUGAACCGUGUUCAAGUUUUAAGUUUUUGCAUAUUUCACCAGGUAUUUUGUUGAGUAUGACUGGAACUAAUAACUACCCGUACGAGUCUCCAGCUUGUCCGUGAGAUUCUAAUCCACUUAUGUAUGUGUCUAUCCUGUCGUAAUAACUGCUGAGGUGUGUUAGCGUAUGUUUUGGUACGGGUUUGUACAGUAGUCUGCAUAUACGAUUGAAUGAUCUUAUGAUUUUGUUCGAAUUCUUCAUGUAUAUUAAAGUUCAAUAGCUUUAUUAUAGUUAGUAUGCGUAAGAGCAAAACCUGCGAUGGUGUAUCUAAAUUAAACUUAUAUUGGUCUGAGCCAAGUAUUUCUUGUUCUAUAUUCUCCUGUUGUACACUUUCUAAAAUGUUCAUAUCUAAAUCCUACAAAAUAUCAUGUGACUCCUUCAAUGUUUCAUGAUAUGUUUCUAAUUCGUCCUCUUCCAAUUCUUCUUCUUAUUCACUCCGCUCGUAAAAUUUUCUUAAAAUCCUAGAAACUGCGCCUAUGUUUUCCUCUCGAAAAUAAUUAAGCUUUGUAGUCAUCUUCUCCUGGUCAUGGUAUCAAUAUCG